CCUACGGGAGGCAGCAGUGGGGAAUAUUGCACAAUGGGGGGAACCCUGAUGCAGCGACGCCGCGUGAGUGAAGAAGUAUUUCGGUAUGUAAAGCUCUAUCAGCAGGGAAGAAAAUGACGGUACCUGACUAAGAAGCCCCGGCUCACUACGUGCCAGCAGCCGCGGGAAUACGUAGGGGGCAAGCGUUAUCCGGAUUUACUGGGUGUAAAGGGAGCGCAGACGGCUGUGCAAGUCUGGAGUGAAAGGCGGGGGCCCAACCCCCGGACUGCUCUGGAAACUGUAAAGCUGGAGUGCAGGAGAGGUAAGCGGAAUUCCAAGUGUAGCGGGGAAAUGCGUAGAUAUUAGGAGGAACACCAGUGGCGAAGGCGGCUUACUGGACUGCAACUGACGUUGAGGCUCGAAAGCGUGGGGAGCAAACAGGAUUAGAUACCCGAGUAGUC
RNAcentral lists this ribosomal RNA (440 nucleotides) under uncultured bacterium. Its description in RNAcentral is "partial 16S ribosomal RNA". It matches the Rfam family "Bacterial small subunit ribosomal RNA", at positions 338 to 795 of the family's 1533-position model. The record is from RNAcentral.